Molecule: long non-coding RNA, 1025 nt
Organism: Stegostoma tigrinum
Lineage: Eukaryota; Metazoa; Chordata; Chondrichthyes; Orectolobiformes; Stegostomatidae
Exons: 2
Source: RefSeq, a predicted model, not a curated record
CAUUCACGAGAGCAGCGCAGAGUUGCUCAGAUAAUUUGAACCACAGAUGCUGGAGAAUCCGAGAUAACAUGGUGUAGAGCUGGAUGAACACAGCAGGUCAAGCAGCAUCAGAGGAGCAGGAAAGCUGACGUUUUGGGCCUAGAUCCUUCGCUGAGUCCAAGAUUUGUGCAAUUGAGCUGCACCCCCAUUUACUGCCUACUAACCUCAUCCCACCCCCCUGACCUGUCUGUCCUCCCUAAACUGACCUAUCACCUCACUACCUCCCCACCUAUACUCACCUUUACCUGCUCCAUGCUGGCAUCUUUGACUUGUCCGUCUCCUCUCCACAUAUCUUCUCUCUCCAUCUUCGAUCUGUCUCCCUAUUUAGUUCACAACCCAAUUAUCUCAGGAUUUUGAACGUUGAAGAAGAAAGCAGCACUCACACUUUGGACAAAUGCAAAUGGUUUGUGUGUAAAAGAGUCUGAAGAUUCAUCUGAAAUGUUCUAACACCAUCGCAGUGACACUUGGGAGACACUGUGGAAAUGGGCAGAUUGCAAGAAGGAAUUUCUUCAUCCAUCCCAGCUGGAAACUGACCACCAGAGUCACACUGGAGAGAAACCAUUCACCCGCUCUGAUUGUGGUAUGGGAUUCACUCAGUCAUCUAACCUGUUUAAACACCAGGGAGUUCACACUGGAGAGAAACCAUUCACUUGCUUGGAAUGUGGGAAAGCAUUCACUCAGACAACUCACCUACUGAUACACCAGCAAAUUCGCACUGGAGAGAGACCAUUGGCCUGUUCUGUGUGUGGGAAAGUUUUUCUGACUCGAAUUCCCCUCUGACACACCAGCGAUUUCACUCUGGGGAGAGACCAUUCGUGAGCUCUGAGUGUGGGAAAGCAUUCACUCAGUCAUCCAAACUGUCACAAAGAACCACAGUUAAAGGAUUUUGCUAUCACGCUCACGAUCAAAUGAACCAUAGUUUUUGGCUGUUUGUACUGAUGUUACUAAUCUCUGCUCAAUUAAAGGUGCUGAUGUUGUGAAUAAAA